UUAUUAUGCAUAUUGCCAUGUCUGUGACUGAUCAAGCUCGGCCAUUUCUUGGCACAGAAAACUGAUAAAUGAUACACCAAGGAUCUCUUUAUAGAUCCGGGGAGAUAAGAUGAACUGGAGGCGUGGCCAUAAGAAAUCGUAUGAUCAUGAAUAGUGUACUUGUGUACCCCUCUAUGCAUGGCCCAGAGUCUUCCUGGCUCCCUUGUCUCUCGCUGGCAAGCACGUUUGGAGCCCCAAGUGAGUAAAGACAUGACCAGUUUUUUUUUCAAAGAUAGGAAGAGGAAAGACACGAACAUAUUGAUGGGCACAUGUGGGA
This 316-nucleotide long non-coding RNA is filed under the name Hordeum vulgare. Its description in RNAcentral is "long non-coding RNA (HVUL_LNC007050)". The record is from RNAcentral. Lineage: Eukaryota; Viridiplantae; Streptophyta; Magnoliopsida; Poales; Poaceae.